RNAcentral lists this long non-coding RNA (1078 nucleotides) under Lonchura striata (white-rumped munia). RNAcentral's name for it is "domestica (Bengalese finch) lncRNA (ENSLSDG00000006738.1)". The record is from RNAcentral. Lineage: Eukaryota; Metazoa; Chordata; Aves; Passeriformes; Estrildidae.
CUCAUUUUUGGUACAAAAUUGAACAUUCAUCACUCAUUUUUGGUACAAAAAUUGAACAUUCAUCGCUCAUUUUUGGUACAAAAAUCGAACAUUCACCGCUCAUUUUUGGUACAAAAAUCGAACAUUUACCGCUCAUUUUUGGUACAAAAAUCGAAAAUUCAUCGCUCAUUUUUGGUACAAAAAUCGAACAUUCACCGCUCAUUUUUGGUACAAAAAUCGAACAUUUACCGCUCAUUUUUAGUACAAAACUUGAACAUUUUUUGCCCGUUUUUGGUACAAAACUUCGCCACUUUUUGCCCGUUUUUGGGUGAAAAUCCGGCGGAUUCGGGGUCGCGCCCCUAGAGCAGCGUGCAGCGCUCGGGGCGGGUCCCGCCAGGAUUUGGGGACAUUGGGGAUGUCCCGACAGGAUUUGGGGAUAUUGGGGAUGUCCCGACAGGAUUUGGGGACACCGAGGGGGUCGCGGCAGGAUUUGGCGAUAUUGGGAAUGUCGUGACAGGAUUUGGGGACACUCUGGAUGUCGUGACAGGAUUUGGGGACACUCUGGAUAUCCCGCCAGGAUUUGGGGAUAUUGGGGAUGUCCCGCCAGAACUCGGGGACACUCUGGAUGUCCCGCCAGAACUCGGGGACACUCUGGAUGUCGUGACAGAAUUUGGGGACACCCUGGAUGUCCCGCCAGAACUCGGGGACACCCUGGAUGUUGUGACAGGAUUUGGGGACAUUGGGGAUGUCCCGCCAGAACUCGGGGACACUCUGGAUGUCGUGACAGAAUUUGGGGACACUCCGCAUAUCCCGCCAGAACUCGGGGACACUCUGGAUGUUGUGACAGGAUUUGGGGACACUCUGGAUGUUGUGACAGGAUUUGGGGACACCGCGCUGCUCCCGCCAGAACUCGGGGACACUCCGCAUGUCCCGCCAGAACUCGGGGACACCGCGCUGCUCCCGCCAGAACUCGGGGACACCCUGGAUGUCCCGCCAGGAUUUGAGGACACCGCGCUGCUCCCGCCAGAACUCGGGGACACCCUGGAUGUCCCGCCAGGAUUUGGGGACACCGCGCUGCUCCCGCCAGAACUCGGGGACA